RNAcentral lists this transfer RNA (67 nucleotides) under uncultured Ruminococcus sp. It matches the Rfam family "tRNA". Rfam says of the family: Transfer RNA (tRNA) molecules are approximately 80 nucleotides in length. Their secondary structure includes four short double-helical elements and three loops (D, anti-codon, and T loops). Lineage: Bacteria; Bacillati; Bacillota; Clostridia; Eubacteriales; Oscillospiraceae. The record is from RNAcentral.
GGAGUAGCGCAGAUGGUAGCGCAACUGAUUCGUAAUCAGUAGGUCGAGGGUUCAAGUCCCUUCUUCA